Molecule: ribosomal RNA, 292 nt
Filed under: uncultured bacterium
Lineage: Bacteria
Description: partial 16S ribosomal RNA
Rfam family: Bacterial small subunit ribosomal RNA
Source: RNAcentral
GUGUCAGCAGCCGCGGUAAUACGAGAGGUGCGAGCGUUAUUCGGAUUUAUUGGGUGUAAAGGGUGCGUAGACGGCGCGUUAAGUUUGUUGUUAAAUCCUCCGGCUCAACCGGAGAUAUGCUGCAAAUACUGGCGUGCUAGAGGAUGGAAGAGAGAAGUGGAAUUCUUGGAGUAGCGGUAAAAUGCGUAGAUCUCAAGAGGAACACCGAUGGCGAAGGCAACUUCUUGGUCCAUUCCUGACGUUGAGGCACGAAAGCGUGGGGAGCAAACAGGAUUAGAAACCCCGGUAGUCC